UAGAAAUAGCAAUCCCUCUCCAUUCUGUUGGCACUUGUAAGGAUUACCUGAAACCAAACAGACAGAUGUCUCAGCCAAGAAGUGUAUCACAUUGACACCAACUUAACUCAUGACUGCAGGCUGGCUUUCCAAUCCAUUAGUGCCCUCCACAAGUCAAGUGUUGGACCGCAGGAAAUGAAGAAGUAGAGCUUUGGUUUACAUAUGUUGACGUGAACAACUCAGUUGCACCCGUUAUGAGAGUAACUGCUCAGCUCAUGAUGAGUGAAUAGGUCAUCCAGCAAGAAACAGAAAACACAGAAAUGGACCUUCUUUGGGAGCAGGGUAGCAAGGCUGGAGUACAGUGGCGAGAUCUCG
This is a non-coding RNA of Macaca mulatta (Rhesus monkey), 354 nucleotides long. The record is from RefSeq and is a predicted model, not a curated record. Lineage: Eukaryota; Metazoa; Chordata; Mammalia; Primates; Cercopithecidae.